This 253-nucleotide unclassified non-coding RNA is filed under the name Hevea brasiliensis (rubber tree). The record is from RNAcentral. Lineage: Eukaryota; Viridiplantae; Streptophyta; Magnoliopsida; Malpighiales; Euphorbiaceae.
UCAUCAUCUGCUACAGUGCUUAGGAGAAAGAAAAAGAACAGGAGUUAAGAGCACAAAAUUCCCAGAAAUAAAGCAGUGUAAUAGACUAUGAUACAGCUAGAUCACGUGGACAUUAGGGGUGUACAAUUCAUAGGUCGGGCUCACUUGUCCUGAAGGUGGUCAUUAGACUAAAUCAACAAUAUUAAAUUAGCUUGAAACUUUCUGUCACUAGAACCAACUGACAUGCAUUGAAACCAUUUCCAACACAUUGGCU